UGGUAUCAGGCACAACAUAAGCCCAAGACACCUUGCUACGCCACACCCCUAAGGGAACUCAGCAGUGAUAAACAUUGAUUAUAAGCGUCAAGCUUGAAUCAGUUACAGUUAUUAGAGCCGGUAAAUCUCGUGCCAGCCACCGCGGUUAUACGAGAGACUCAAGUUGAUAACUAACGGCGUAAAGCGUGAUUAAAGGCCUUAAACAAUAGAGUUAAAUUUCAACUCAGCUGUCGCACGCUUUCGCUGCUUAGAAAAACAAUUACGAAAGUAACUCUACUUUCAACAACUUGAACUCACGACUGCUGGGAUACAAACUGGGAUUAGAUACCCCACUAUGCCCAGCCUUAAACUUUGACCACUUACACUAAAAUCCGCCAGGGGACUACGAGCAUUAGCUUAAAACCCAAAGGACUUGGCGGUGCCCCACACCCACCUAGAGGAGCCUGUUCUAUAAUCGAUAACCCCCGCUUAACCUCACCACUUCUAGCAAACUCAGCCUAUAUACCACCGUCGCCAGCCCACCCUGUGAAGGUACCCGAGUAGGCAUAAAUAUCUGUAAUAAAAACGUCAGGUCAAGGUGUAGCUUAUGAAGUGGGAAGAAAUGGGCUACAUUUUCUAUUAAUCUAGAAUAAACGAAAAACCAUUAUGAAAUCUGGUUAGAAGGUGGAUUUAGCAGUAAAAAGAAACAAUAGUGUUCUUUUUAAAAUGGCCCUGGGGCGCGCACACACCGCCCGUCACCCUCUUUAAAACCCCACAAAUAUACAUAAAAUUUUAACUAAUAUAAAGAAGAGGCAAGUCGUAACAUGGUAAGUACACCGGAAGGUGUGCUUGGAA
Molecule: non-coding RNA, 834 nt
Filed under: Pipa parva (Sabana Surinam toad)
Lineage: Eukaryota; Metazoa; Chordata; Amphibia; Anura; Pipidae
Description: partial 12S ribosomal RNA
Rfam family: Bacterial small subunit ribosomal RNA
Source: RNAcentral